GACGAACGCUGGCGGCGUGCCUAAUACAUGCAAGUAGAACGCUGAAGGAGGAGCUUGCUUCUCCGGAUGAGUUGCGAACGGGUGAGUAACGCGUAGGUAACCUGCCUGGUAGCGGGGGAUAACUAUUGGAAACGAUAGCUAAUACCGCAUAACAGUAGAUAUUGCAUGAUAUCUGCUUGAAGGUGCAAAUGCAUCACUACAGAUGACUGCGUGUAUAGCUGGUGUGGGUACGCUAACAAGCGACAACAAGCACUGAAGGGUUGCAAAUGGAAGGACGGCAGCCCCAGAAGAGGUGGACCUGCAGGGGGACUUGGGGAAGCGGGAGAGAAGGUCGAAAAAACUCUGGAAAAAAAGGGGAAAGAAAUUCGUGAGUUUUUAAAAGGGGAAUGGCGGCGGGCAAAAAAGGGAAGGGUGAAAGGGGGGAAAAAGGGGGAAUAAUGAGAUAAAGGGUGUUACCACUCGUUGGAUUGUUAGGGGGGAGAAAGGGGCAUUGUGGGGGGAAAAAAAUAAAAAGGGGGACCCGGGGGGACCUUUUUUUUUUUUUUUUUUUUUCUGGGGGGGGGGGGGGGGAAAAAAAUUUCUUGGGGGCGGUGAUAUUUUUUUUUUUUUUUUGGGGGGGGGGGGGGGGGCCCAAUAAAAAAAAAAAAAAAGGGAGCUAUAGAUAAUGCAUGCGCGUUGCUGCACGAAAUG
This 690-nucleotide ribosomal RNA is filed under the name uncultured Enterobacteriaceae bacterium. Its description in RNAcentral is "partial 16S ribosomal RNA". The stretch from base 27 to 281 matches the Rfam family "Bacterial small subunit ribosomal RNA", at positions 54 to 354 of the family's 1533-position model. Lineage: Bacteria; Pseudomonadati; Pseudomonadota; Gammaproteobacteria; Enterobacterales; Enterobacteriaceae. The record is from RNAcentral.